GAGCAGACACAUUCCAGCCAAUCAGCAGCAGACCCUCCCUCCCAGACCCUCCCACCUCCUGGACAGCAUCCACUUUGAAGCUGCAUUUUUAGUGAGCUGUCCAGGAGGUGGGAGGGUCUGGGAGGGAGGGUCUGCUGCUGAUUGGCUGAUUGUUCGG
RNAcentral lists this microRNA precursor (157 nucleotides) under Pelobates cultripes (western spadefoot toad). The record is from RNAcentral. Lineage: Eukaryota; Metazoa; Chordata; Amphibia; Anura; Pelobatidae.